ACCGACGUUCAGAAGAAUCCAUUCAACAUGGCGGAGACUCGCAAGCGACCGGAGCAAACUUAAUGGAACAACUUGCUGAGCUGGAUGCUGAAUACAAAAGAGUGAGCCUCAACACUUAAGGUUUGUGCUG
Molecule: long non-coding RNA, 130 nt
Organism: Sinocyclocheilus grahami
Lineage: Eukaryota; Metazoa; Chordata; Actinopteri; Cypriniformes; Cyprinidae
Exons: 3
Source: RefSeq, a predicted model, not a curated record